UUGUUAACACACAAUCUUAUCGUCUCUUCCUCAAAUAUUUGUCGGUGACUUUUCCUUUGCACUCUACGGCGUCGAAGAUAUUGUCUUCGCCGAUCGACCUCCCCACUAUCAAGAUCAAUAACUGUACCAUUCAACACAAUACCCUCUUCAACUUCUUCCCUUUCCCCAACCUAGCUAUAUAUACGGUGAGAUUCAAGACCAAAGUUCCUCACAUCGUUAUCCCCAAAAGCACCAGCGUGAUUAAACUCCAAGGCUAAAGCACGACUAUGAUAUCAGAUCAACCAUUGGGAUGAAGUUGUUGUCACAAACGACCUUCAGAUGGAUGAGGAUGAGGAUGAGGAUGAUAAUGAGGAAGAUGACCAAGAAGUAUAUCACCGAAAUAGAGCAAAUAAAAACGUCAUCAGCUGGGAUGUUGGGUUAGUGUACGCGGAACCAUGAAGUUGCGACUUGACUGAAGAAGACUGGACUAUGCAUGACUUCUUGGCCUAAUCAUCCUACUAUGAUCUAGAUAUUCCUUGGAAACAACAGUGUUUGCGAUGUAGAAAACCUUGAGCUUCCUAGGCUGGUUUAUCUUCUUGUGAGACCUGGAUUUGACUAUCAUAAGAAGGCUGGCGCCAUGAAGUCGUUGAUACGAGUCUCGGGGUUUCUAUCAAUUGUGCCUUAUCUUUUGAAUGUCGACUGUGAUCACUACAUCUACAAUACCAAAAUUCUAAGAGAAGAAAUGUGUUUCGUGUUGGCUUCUAAGUUGGGAAAGAAGAUUUGUUAUGAUCACUACCCUCAAAGAUUCGAUGGGAUCGGUAGACACGGCAGAUACAGUAAUGGCAGCGUUGUGUUUUACGAUGUAAGUACACAAAACUUCGAUCACCAGAUUCACCACCUUCCUUAUCUUGAGUCAUAACCUAAGUCUUAGUAAUCUUAAUUGCUUCCUUAUCUUGAGUCAUAACCUAUGUUUUAGUAAUCUUAAUUGCACUCCCACUGCGGCACUGUUUUUUUUUGCUACCAUUAGCUUCAUUGAAAGCAAAAAAGAACUAUAGCAUCGGUGUUGGAGCUUCGCACGAGCCACUGAAGUGAUUUUUUUUAACGAGGUAUUAUAAAGACCCAAAUAUGUUUUUACCGGCCAGCUUACCUUAAUUACUAAUAUACUAUUUGAAGCACUUGAAAGUUGAGCCUACAGAUCCAAAACAAGGCUUUCUUGAUUUUUGUUAUCCCCCACGACAAAGAGACAUUUCUUACGCUCGGGCUUGCAUCUCUUGAAAAAGUGUUUCUGAACAUCGCUAGACGGGCUAAACUAGAAAGUGCAACCGCUGCAAGAACCAUGGUCACCCUCGAUUUAGAAUCUGGCAUCUCACUUAAAGGGAAAUCUAAUAGCAGAUAUAAAUAUAAAAUGCAACAAAGAUGAGGAAUUCCACUAAAUUAUAUGAUCAUUGUAGAUAUAUAUAUGGAUACCAAUGGGAGCCAGAUUUGGUGGGAUCCUUGAAACCAAACGCAGAAAAUUCAAUUGGAGUAAUGGUUAAAGUUUACUGGCAACAAGAUGGGUCGGGGUAGAUGGCAAUAGUCCACAUCUUUUUUUUUGGUAGAAAUGUUAAAUAUUAUAGUUCACAUUUUCACAUUGAUUUUUGUGAUUGUUCAAUGUGACAAAAAUAUCGCAAUGUAUAUGCAUGUUACAGACACAAGUUCGUGACUGACUUUUUAUGAUAGGUUUUGUCUUUCUCAACAGUUA
Brassica oleracea var. oleracea is the source of this 1720-nucleotide long non-coding RNA. RefSeq lists it as uncharacterized. The transcript has 7 exons. NCBI's taxonomy places the organism in Eukaryota, Viridiplantae, Streptophyta, Magnoliopsida, Brassicales, Brassicaceae. The record is from RefSeq and is a predicted model, not a curated record.